AUCAAAAUUUUCAAUUGAAAUUAGGAUCUCUAUUUCCAGCAAUGACUUUUCUAUGACGCUUGGAUUUCCUCUCUCUCCCACGCUUCGUGGGAAUCUUUUUGAUUGGAGUGGUUAUGACAGUUGACGUUGGAACAAAUGGUGAGGUAUGCCGGGUUUCAAGAAUUACAGGAGGUGGAGGAUGAACGAUUAUACUUGCACGAGGUGGAGUCAGGCGCCCAAGAAUGUCUCUGUGAUACCCCUGAAUCACAAA
This 250-nucleotide unclassified non-coding RNA is filed under the name Hevea brasiliensis (rubber tree). The record is from RNAcentral. Lineage: Eukaryota; Viridiplantae; Streptophyta; Magnoliopsida; Malpighiales; Euphorbiaceae.